Regulatory RNA element from Corynebacterium kroppenstedtii DSM 44385, 68 nucleotides. It matches the Rfam family "6C RNA". The record is from Rfam. Lineage: Bacteria; Bacillati; Actinomycetota; Actinomycetes; Mycobacteriales; Corynebacteriaceae.
GCCCCGGCCAUCCCCCCGAGCCGGGUAAGACGGCCCGCAUCGAUCCCCCCUGAUGCGGGCCGUCGCUC